This 253-nucleotide ribosomal RNA is filed under the name uncultured bacterium. RNAcentral describes it as "partial 16S ribosomal RNA". It matches the Rfam family "Bacterial small subunit ribosomal RNA", at positions 524 to 776 of the family's 1533-position model. The record is from RNAcentral.
UACGUAGGGCGCAAGCGUUGUCCGGAAUUAUUGGGCGUAAAGAGCUCGUAGGCGGCCUGUUGCGUCCGCUGUGAAAUCCCGGGGCUCAACCCCGGGCCUGCAGUGGAUACGGGCUGGCUAGAGGCAGGCAGGGGAGAACGGAAUUCCUGGUGUAGCGGUGAAAUGCGUAGAUAUCAGGAGGAACACCAAUGGCGAAGGCAGAUCUCUGGGCCGUAACUGACGCUGAGGAGCGAAAGCAUGGGGAGCGAACAGG